This is a non-coding RNA of Mesorhizobium amorphae CCNWGS0123, 73 nucleotides long. Lineage: Bacteria; Pseudomonadati; Pseudomonadota; Alphaproteobacteria; Hyphomicrobiales; Phyllobacteriaceae. The record is from Rfam.
ACGGGCAUAGCUCAGUUGGUAGAGCGGCGGUCUCCAAAACCGCAGGUCGUAGGUUCGAGCCCUGCUGCCCGUG